AUUGAACGCUGGCGACAUGCCUUACACAUGCAAGUCGAACGGCAGCACGGGAGCAAUCCUGGUGGCGAGUGGCGAACGGGUGAGUAAUACAUCGGAACGUGCCCAAUCGUGGGGGAUAACGUAGCGAAAGUUACGCUAAUACCGCAUACGAUCUACGGAUGAAAGCGGGGGACCGCAAGGCCUCGCGCGAUUGGAGCGGCCGAUGGCAGAUUAGGUAGUUGGUGGGGUAAAGGCCUACCAAGCCUCCGAUCUGUAGCUGGUCUGAGAGGACGAUCAGCCACACUGGGACUGAGACACGGCCCAGACUCCUACGGGAGGCAGCAGUGGGGAAUUUUGGACAAUGGGCGAAAGCCUGAUCCAGCAAUGCCGCGUGCAGGACGAAGGCCUUCGGGUUGUAAACUGCUUUUGUACGGAGCGAAACGGCUUUCACUAAUACUGGGGGCUAAUGACGGUACCGUAAGAAUAAGCACCGGCUAACUACGUGCCAGCCGCCGCGGUAA
Molecule: ribosomal RNA, 500 nt
Filed under: uncultured bacterium
Lineage: Bacteria
Description: partial 16S ribosomal RNA
Rfam family: Bacterial small subunit ribosomal RNA
Source: RNAcentral